UGCUGCUGAAGAAGCUGCCAACUCAAGCUCUACUGAGUAGCUCUAUUGGCUUUGGUCCCUCUUGUUUUGAUGGUUUUUCUUGGUUUUUUUUGUUUUGGUGGAUUUCUGUGUUUUUUUUGGUUUGUUUCUCAGCAUUCUUCAGCUGUGUAUGUACUUGGUGUUGUAACUCUAUAACUUAUGGUUUUUCGGUUAAUGACUAGAUAGACAUUUAUUUUGUC
This 218-nucleotide long non-coding RNA is filed under the name Lathyrus oleraceus (garden pea). RNAcentral describes it as "Pisum sativum (pea) long non-coding RNA (PSAT_LNC007257)". The record is from RNAcentral. Lineage: Eukaryota; Viridiplantae; Streptophyta; Magnoliopsida; Fabales; Fabaceae.